UGGGGAAUAUUGCGCAAUGGGGGAAACCCUGACGCAGCAACGCCGCGUGAAGGAUGAAGGUUUUCGGAUUGUAAACUUCUUUGAUGAGGGACGAUAAUGACGGUACCUCAAAAACAAGCCACGGCUAACUACGUGCCAGCAGCCGCGGUAAUACGUAGGUGGCAAGCGUUGUCCGGAAUUACUGGGUGUAAAGGGCGUGUAGGCGGGGAUGCAAGUCAGAUGUGAAAUUCCGGGGCUCAACCCCGGCGCUGCAUCUGAAACUGUAUCUCUUGAGUGCUGGAGAGGAAAGCGGAAUUCCUAGUGUAGCGGUGAAAUGCGUAGAUAUUAGGAGGAACACCAGUGGCGAAGGCGGCUUUCUGGACAGUAACUGACGCUGAGGCGCGAAAGCGUGGGGAGCGAACAGG
Molecule: ribosomal RNA, 404 nt
Filed under: uncultured prokaryote
Also listed under: 1 other name
Description: bacterial SSU rRNA
Rfam family: Bacterial small subunit ribosomal RNA
Source: RNAcentral